GACGAACCCUUGCGGCGUGCUUAACACACGCAAGUCGAACGGAAAGGCCCUGCUUUUGUGGGGUGCUCGAGUGGCGAACGGGUGAGUAACACGUGAGUAACCUGCCCUUGACUUUGGGAUAACUUCAGGAAACUGGGGCUAAUACCGGAUAGGAGCUCCUGCUGCAUGGUGGGGGUUGGAAAGUUUCGGCGGUUGGGGAUGGACUCGCGGCUUAUCAGCUUGUUGGUGGGGUAGUGGCUUACCAAGGCUUUGACGGGUAGCCGGCCUGAGAGGGUGACCGGCCACAUUGGGACUGAGAUACGGCCCAGACUCCUACGGGAGGCAGCAGUGGGGAAUAUUGCACAAUGGGCGGAAGCCUGAUGCAGCAACGCCGCGUGCGGGAUGACGGCCUUCGGGUUGUAAACCGCUUUCGCCUGUGACGAAGCGUGAGUGACGGUAAUGGGUAAAGAAGCACCGGCUAACUACGUGCCAGCAGCCGCGGUGAUACGUAGGGUGCGAGCGUUGUCCGGAUUUAUUGGGCGUAAAGGGCUCGUAGGUGGUUGAUCGCGUCGGAAGUGUAAUCUUGGGGCUUAACCCUGAGCGUGCUUUCGAUACGGGUUGACUUGAGGAAGGUAGGGGAGAAUGGGAUUCCUGGUGGAGCGGUGGAAUGCGCAGAUAUCAGGAGGAACACCAGUGGCGAAGGCGGUUCUCUGGGCCUUUCCUGACGCUGAGGAGCGAAAGCGUGGGGAGCGAACAGGCUUAGAUACCCUGGUAGUCCACGCUGUAAACGGUGGGUACUAGGUGUGGGGUCCAUUCCACGGGUUCCGUGCCGUAGCUAACGCUUUAAGUACCCCGCCUGGGGAGUACGGCCGCAAGGCUAAAACUCAAAGGAAUUGACGGGGCCCCGCACAAGCGGCGGAGCAUGCGGAUUAAUUCGAUGCAACGCGUAGAACCUUACCUGGGUUUGACAUGGAUCGGGAGUGCUCAGAGAUGGGUGUGCCUCUUUUGGGGUCGGUUCACAGGUGGUGCAUGGCUGUCGUCAGCUCGUGUCGUGAGAUGUUGGGUUAAGUCCCGCAACGAGCGCAACCCUUGUUCACUGUUGCCAGCACGUUAUGGUGGGGACUCAGUGGAGACCGCCGGGGUCAACUCGGAGGAAGGUGGGGAUGACGUCAAGUCAUCAUGCCCCUUAUGUCCAGGGCUUCACGCAUGCUACAAUGGCUGGUACAGAGAGUGGCGAGCCUGUGAGGGUGAGCGAAUCUCGGAAAGCCGGUCUCAGUUCGGAUUGGGGUCUGCAACUCGACCUCAUGAAGUCGGAGUCGCUAGUAAUCGCAGAUCAGCAACGCUGCGGUGAAUACGUUCCCGGG
RNAcentral lists this ribosomal RNA (1343 nucleotides) under uncultured bacterium. Its description in RNAcentral is "16S ribosomal RNA". It matches the Rfam family "Bacterial small subunit ribosomal RNA", at positions 28 to 1378 of the family's 1533-position model. The record is from RNAcentral.